This 428-nucleotide ribosomal RNA is filed under the name uncultured Bacillota bacterium. RNAcentral describes it as "bacterial SSU rRNA". It matches the Rfam family "Bacterial small subunit ribosomal RNA", at positions 958 to 1385 of the family's 1533-position model. The record is from RNAcentral. Lineage: Bacteria; Bacillati; Bacillota.
AACGCGAAGAACCUUACCAGGUCUUGACAUCCCACUGACCGGUAUAGAGAUAUACCUUUCCCUUCGGGGACAGUGGUGACAGGUGGUGCAUGGUUGUCGUCAGCUCGUGUCGUGAGAUGUUGGGUUAAGUCCCGCAACGAGCGCAACCCUUGAUCUUAGUUGCCAGCAUUUAGUUGGGCACUCUAAGGUGACUGCCGGUGACAAACCGGAGGAAGGUGGGGAUGACGUCAAAUCAUCAUGCCCCUUAUGACCUGGGCUACACACGUGCUACAAUGGAUGGUACAAAGGGCUGCGAGACUGCGAAGUCAAGCCAAUCCCAUAAAACCAUUCUCAGUUCGGAUUGCAGGCUGCAACUCGCCUGCAUGAAGCUGGAAUCGCUAGUAAUCGUGGAUCAGCAUGCCACGGUGAAUACGUUCCCGGGCCUUGUA